AGAGUUUGAUCCUGGCUCAGGAUGAACGCUAGCUACAGGCUUAACACAUGCAAGUCGAGGGAAACGAUAUUGGAAGCUUGCUUCCGAUAGGCGUCGACCGGCGCACGGGUGAGUAACGCGUAUCCAACCUGCCCAUCACUUGGGGAUAACCUUGCGAAAGUAAGACUAAUACCCAAUGAUAUCUCUAGAAGACAUCUGAAAGAGAUUAAAGAUUUAUCGGUGAUGGAUGGGGAUGCGUCUGAUUAGCUUGUUGGCGGGGUAACGGCCCACCAAGGCGACGAUCAGUAGGGUUCUGAGAGGAAGGUCCCCACAUUGGAACUGAGACACGGUCCAAACUCCUACGGGGAGGCAGCAGUGAGGAAUAUUGGUCAAUGGGCGAGAGCCUGAACCAGCCAAGUAGCGUGCAGGAUGACGGCCUAUGGGUUGUAAACUGCUUUUAUAAGGGAAUAAAGUGAGUCUCGUGAGACUUUUUGCAUGUACCUUAUGAAUAAGGACCGGCUAAUUCCGUG
RNAcentral lists this ribosomal RNA (509 nucleotides) under uncultured bacterium. Its description in RNAcentral is "bacterial SSU rRNA". It matches the Rfam family "Bacterial small subunit ribosomal RNA", at positions 8 to 507 of the family's 1533-position model. The record is from RNAcentral.